RNAcentral lists this long non-coding RNA (386 nucleotides) under Lathyrus oleraceus (garden pea). RNAcentral's name for it is "Pisum sativum (pea) long non-coding RNA (PSAT_LNC026370)". The record is from RNAcentral. Lineage: Eukaryota; Viridiplantae; Streptophyta; Magnoliopsida; Fabales; Fabaceae.
AACCUGUAAGCUAUACCAAACAUGGUGAGGAUCAUAAAAAGCCAAACACUUAUCAUCAUGAGAGCUUUUCAAGUAUGUCUCUGUCACUCUGAGUUUGUGUAAGUAGAUAUUGAAAUUUCAAGACACACAUAUACAUAUUGAGGCACUUCUUUGUUUUAACCCCGAGCCUUUCCAGCCAACCAUUCAAUAUUACCCUUCAUUUACCCAAUUCGAGUCAUAUUCCCCUUUUAUUUGUUAUGAAUCGUUGUAAAUAACUGUAAGCCCAAACACUCCCUUACAUUGCUCAGAUAAGUGUUGUAGAUUGUUGUUCUGUGAAAAAUCCUAAGUUUGGGGUUAGGACACCGGUAAAAACUAGAUAAGUGCAUAUGAGAUGAAAAGAAAAGAAA